GCAAGGCAACAGGACACGAGCCCAGGCUCCCCCAUCUCUGUGACAUGAUAAGGAGAACAGCAGUACCAGAGCAGUGGCCAGGCCAGAUAAGCCAUGGUGAGUGGGCGGGUUGUGUUGUUCUCUAACUACUCCUUUGCAGUAUGUAGCCCAAGUAACUCCUGAGGCCCUUACUGCGCAGCUCAGCUGCUUUUUAGUUAAAACCCAGAACCCCAGCAACAAACUGGAAAGAAAAAUGGAGGGCUUAGAAAAGGACCAUCCUUACUCGGAAUCUUCCCAGCAGCAUCCACCAGCCAGAGAGGAAUACACUGUGCCAGGGGCCAUCACGCACCGCCUGAGAGAUCGAGAGCUGCUGCGGAAAAGGAAAGCAGAGGCACAGGAGAAAGAUACUCUCCAAAAGCAAGGUACGAGCAAAGGGCCAAAGAGGGGCCGAGGAGCUGGGAGAAGAAGAGGCAGACAGCAGGGUACAGAGCCAGUGCCUCAGCCUGAAGUGCAAGAGGAGGCGGAGACGGAGCCCCCAGAGAAAGCACAGGCAUCUCCAGCGCACCAUGAGGAGGAGCCUGCCCUGUCUGUGGCUCAAGAGCCAUCUGGUGGGACUCAGCAGGAGGUGGUGGAGGGCCCCCAAGCUGAGGAUACUCUGCAUCCAGCAGAGCAUGGGGAAGAACCAAAGUCAGAAGAAGCAGGAUCAUCAGAGGCUUUGAAUAUCCCUCUGGAAAAUGACCAUACAGAUAAUGGAUACUACUCCUCUGUUUUAUUUUGAUCUUUUUUCCCUUCCCAUUGCUUUGGUCAAAGUCCAGCCCCUGUAGAAUGAUCUAGAUCUGCUAUUCCUGUGUGAGCAAUAAAAACUAAACACUUGCACCA
Molecule: long non-coding RNA, 858 nt
Filed under: Chelonoidis abingdonii (Abingdon island giant tortoise)
Lineage: Eukaryota; Metazoa; Chordata; Testudines; Testudinidae
Description: lncRNA (ENSCABG00000006165.1)
Source: RNAcentral